AACAGGAUUAGAUACCCUGGUAGUCCACGCCGUAAACGAUGUCGACUUGGAGGUUGUGCCCUUGAGGCGUGGCUUCCGGAGCUAACGCGUUAAGUCGACCGCCUGGGGAGUACGGCCGCAAGGUCAACACUCAAAUGAAUUGACGGGGGCCCGCGCAAGCGGUGGAGCAUGUGGUUUAAUUCGAUGCAACGCGAAGAACCUUACCUACUCUUGACAUCCAGAGAACUUAGCAGAGAUGCUUUGGUGCCUUCGGGAACUCUGAGACAGGUGCUGCAUGGCUGUCGUCAGCUCGUGUUGUGAAAUGUUGGGUUAAGUCCCGCAACGAGCGCAACCCUUAUCCUUUGUUGCCAGCGGUUCGGCCGGGAACUCAAAGGAGACUGCCAGUGAUAAACUGGAGGAAGGUGGGGAUGACGUCAAGUCAUCAUGGCCCUUACGAGUAGGGCUACACACGUGCUACAAUGGCAUAUACAAAGAGAAGCGACCUCGCGAGAGCAAGCGGACCUCAUAAAGUAUGUCGUAGUCCGGAUUGGAGUCUGCAACUCGACUCCAUGAAGUCGGAAUCGCUAGUAAUCGUGGAUCAGAAUGCCACGGUGAAUACGUUCCCGGGCCUUGUACACACCGCCCGUCACACCAUGGGAGUGGGUUGCAAAAGACGUAGGUAGCUUAACCUUCGGGAGGGCGCUUACCACUUUGUGAUUCAUGACUGGGGUGAAGUCGUAACAAGGUAACC
This 730-nucleotide ribosomal RNA is filed under the name uncultured bacterium. Its description in RNAcentral is "bacterial SSU rRNA". It matches the Rfam family "Bacterial small subunit ribosomal RNA", at positions 771 to 1501 of the family's 1533-position model. The record is from RNAcentral.